UCUUCAUUUCAUGUUAAGGCUCUUUUUAGGAAUAACUUUUCUUUGUUAUAUGUUAAGGUUAAUUGUGUAUGUUCUAUAUUAUAUGGUUUUACUUGUUCUAACCAUUUUAUUCCUAAUAUUAUAUCUGCUUUUUGCAUUUCUUCCUUUACUUCGAAUUCUAUUUUUAUUUUUCUAACUCCUAAUAUUAUUUCUUUUUCUGCUAUAUUUUUAUUAUUUAUUAAACUUCUUGGUAGAUCUGGGCAUAUAUCAUUGUCAGUUUUUAUGUCUUCAUUUUUU
This 276-nucleotide long non-coding RNA is filed under the name Capsicum annuum. RNAcentral describes it as "long non-coding RNA (CANN_LNC001604)". Lineage: Eukaryota; Viridiplantae; Streptophyta; Magnoliopsida; Solanales; Solanaceae. The record is from RNAcentral.